UAUUUUGUAUUUUUCAGCAAAUGGAUACAGCGCACUACAAUAGAAUGAACUUAUAAUUGACUGCAUUAAACCUUAUUCAACCAUUGCAUUUGAUGGCAUAGUCGAGAGACUUUAGCUGAGGUAACCUAAGAGGCCAUCUGAUCCGCCGCGACCGAUCCAACGUUGAGGGAAUUGUCUAUUAAGAAAUUCACGU
Frieseomelitta varia is the source of this 193-nucleotide long non-coding RNA. RefSeq lists it as uncharacterized. The record is from RefSeq and is a predicted model, not a curated record. The transcript has 2 exons. NCBI's taxonomy places the organism in Eukaryota, Metazoa, Arthropoda, Insecta, Hymenoptera, Apidae.